AACCUUAUGGACCUGCGGGCGUAUACCUGCGGAGGGAUCAUUAUCAAAACAGCGGCCUUCGGGCCUUGCUGCACCCUUGUCUUUUGCGCACCGUAUUAUUUCCUCGGCGGGCUUGCCUGCCGGUUGGACAUUAUCAAACCUUUUUGUAGUUGCAAUCAGCGUCAGAAAAACAAUAAUUAUUACAACUUUUAACAAUGGAUCU
This 202-nucleotide unclassified non-coding RNA is filed under the name soil metagenome. RNAcentral describes it as "partial contains 5.8S ribosomal RNA, internal transcribed spacer 2, and large subunit ribosomal RNA". The record is from RNAcentral.